Molecule: ribosomal RNA, 471 nt
Filed under: uncultured bacterium
Lineage: Bacteria
Description: bacterial SSU rRNA
Rfam family: Bacterial small subunit ribosomal RNA
Source: RNAcentral
GACGAACGCUGGCGGCGUGCUUAACACAUGCAAGUCGAACGGUAAGGCCCUUCGGGGUACACGAGUGGCGAACGGGUGAGUAACACGUGGGUGAUCUGCCCUGCACUUCGGGAUAAGCCUGGGAAACUGGGUCUAAUACCGGAUAGGACCAUGGACUUCACGGUUUGUGGUGGAAAGCUUUUGCGGUGUGGGAUGGGCCCGCGGCCUAUCAGCUUGUUGGUGGGGUAAUGGCCUACCAAGGCGACGACGGGUAGCCGGCCUGAGAGGGUGUCCGGCCACACUGGGACUGAGAUACGGCCCAGACUCCUACGGGAGGCAGCAGUGGGAAUAUUGCACAAUGGGCGCAAGCCUGAUGCAGCGACGCCGCGUGAGGGAUGACGGCCUUCGGGUUGUAAACCUCUUUCAAUAGGGACGAAGCGCAAGUGACGGUACCUAUAGAAGAAGCACCGGCCAACUACGUGCCAGCAGCCG